AUACUUACCUGGCAUAGGACAAACGGUGAUCACCCACGGCCACGUUCUCCCAGGUCGAGGCUCACUCAUUGCACUUCGGGUGGGCUGAAGCCUGCGAUCACCCCAAAUGUGGGUGACUCGGGUGCGUAAUUUUUGCGUAUGGGGAACUGCGUUCGCGCUAAUCCCUG
Small nuclear RNA from Biomphalaria glabrata, 167 nucleotides. RefSeq annotates it as U1 spliceosomal RNA. The transcript has a single exon. The record is from RefSeq and is a predicted model, not a curated record. Lineage: Eukaryota; Metazoa; Mollusca; Gastropoda; Planorbidae.